RNAcentral lists this ribosomal RNA (1381 nucleotides) under Rhithropanopeus harrisii. RNAcentral's name for it is "16S ribosomal RNA". The stretch from base 671 to 1381 matches the Rfam family "Archaeal large subunit ribosomal RNA", at positions 1423 to 2816 of the family's 2987-position model. The record is from RNAcentral. Lineage: Eukaryota; Metazoa; Arthropoda; Malacostraca; Decapoda; Panopeidae.
UAAUGUAUUUGAUGAUAAAUUCUUAGGUAAAUUAGAAAUGUUGUUUAAUAAAUAAAGAAGUUAUUGUAAUAUGAAAAUCAAUUUUAUAGUUAAAAGUAAAGGUUAAUGAAAUUAUAAUUAAACUACAGCUUAAAAGUACUGUGAAGGAAGGUUGAAAGAUUAAAAUAUAAUUUUUAUAGAAAUUAUAUAAUAGUGUACCUUGUGUAUUAGGGAAAAUUAAAAUUGAUUAGUUAUAUUAAUUAUCUCGAAAUAAAUAACAGUUAAUUUUAUAUUAAGUUAUUGUAAUAAAAAUAUUUAUAAUAUAAAAUUAAGGGUGAAACAUCAGACGAGUUUUAUUAUAUCUAGUUUUUUAAGAAAUGAAUUUAAUUCAAGGUUAUUACUAAAACAAAAAUUAUUUAAAAUUGUAAUAGUUCUAGGGGUAGGAGGGAACAGCUUCUUAUCUAAAAUUGUAUAUUAUAAUAGUUAAUUAUAAAUUUAAGGGAUUAUAUUAGGCUUAGAAGUAGCCAUAAUAAUAAAGUGUUUAAACUAAAAAUAAAAUAAAUAAUUAUUUAUAUUAACUUUAAAGAGUAUUAAAAAAUAAAUUUAAAUAUAAGUUUGUUUAGAUAUAUUGAUUUUAUUAGUAUAAUAAAUAUUAUUGGAUAAAUUAAAUUUAAUAGGAAUAUAAUUUUAAUAAAUUAAAGUUAAUAUAAAGGAACUCGGCAAAUAAUUUCCUUGCCUGUUUAUCAAAAACAUGUCCAUUUGAUGAUAUAAAUGGUCUGGCCUGCUCACUGAUAAAUAUAUUUAAGAGCCGCGGUAUUUUGACCGUGCAAAGGUAGCAUAAUCAUUAGGGGUUUAAUUGGAACCUGGAAUGAAGGGUUGGACAAAGGAGAAGCUGUCUCAGUAUUAUAAAUUGAAUUUUACUUUUAAGUGAAAAGGCUUAAAUAAAUCAAAGGGACGAUAAGACCCUAUAAAGCUUUAUAAAUUAUUUGGAUUCAGUUAAUUUAAAUUAUAAAAAUUGAAUUUAAUUAUUUUAUUUUAUUGGGGCGAUAUGAGUAUAAUUUUUAUUAACUGCUUAAAAGGAAAUACAAGUUUAAGUGUUUGUAGAUUAAAUGAUCCUUUAUAAAGAUUAAAAGACUAAGUUACUUUAGGGAUAACAGCGUUAUUUCUUUUGAGAGUUCAUAUCGAAAAAGAAGAUUGCGACCUCGAUGUUGAAUUAAAAUAUCUAUAUAGUGCAGUCGUUAUAUAAGAGGGUCUGUUCGACCUUUAAAUUUUUACAUGAUUUGAGUUCAGACCGGCGUGAGCCAGGUCGGUUUCUAUCUUUUGAUAAAGAUAAAUUAUUCUAGUACGAAAGGAUUGAGUAAUUUAAAGAUUUUAAAAGAGUGGAAUAAGGCUAUUUUGGCAG